Molecule: ribosomal RNA, 333 nt
Filed under: uncultured Scutellospora
Lineage: Eukaryota; Fungi; Glomeromycota; Glomeromycetes; Diversisporales; Gigasporaceae
Description: partial 28S ribosomal RNA
Source: RNAcentral
GUGAAAUUGUUGAAAGGGAAACGAUUGAAGUCAGUCAUGCCGGCGGGAAUCAACUUAGGGGAAACUUUAAGUGCACUUCACGUUUGGCAGGUCAGCAUCGAUUUUGGAUGUCAUAAAAUGAUUGGGGGAAGGUAGCUCCUUCGGGAGUGUUAAGCCCUUGGUAGAUGUGAUGUCCGGGAUCGAGGAUUGCAACGGAUACCUUUUAGGCUAGCCGCCUAGUCUCUAUUACGAAGUUGGGUUAUGGACAGCACGCUGACUGUGAUCUGAUUUUCGGUUAAAAGAUUAGAGCAGUGUAAAUUCGUUAAGGACGCUGACGUAAUGGCUUUAAACGAC